CCCUAUGGGGUGCCGCAGGCUUAGCGUAUUUACUCACUGUUUUGAUAAAUCCCAAGUCGUUUCACUCCAUAAGUUAAUACAGGAAGGAGAAGGGUUGCCCAGACCCUUCCCCAACCCAACGACAACGGCCAUAUAUAAAGGAGGUGACGACGAGCGCUCGGGCGCUCGCAUGCUUAGUUUCAAUCGUGUCUAUAUUAAUUUCCGUUUCCAUCUAUUAUGAGGUUAUCGCAUCUCCGCUAAGUUGUCAAUCGAAAUCGACCGAUAACCUUAAAAUAUUUCUUAGCGAGAAAAGCUUGCUUUUCAGUUGCCUUAGAACCACAGAUCGCGCUUCGCGAGAGUGAGACUCAAGGAACUUAAUGGCCGCGCCGAUUUAAAGUAGAGUCAAUAUGUCUGGGCGGGAGGGC
Molecule: ribosomal RNA, 404 nt
Filed under: uncultured prokaryote
Description: partial 16S ribosomal RNA
Source: RNAcentral